Molecule: unclassified non-coding RNA, 751 nt
Filed under: Espeletia occulta
Lineage: Eukaryota; Viridiplantae; Streptophyta; Magnoliopsida; Asterales; Asteraceae
Description: Libanothamnus occultus partial external transcribed spacer
Source: RNAcentral
CAGGCCUCCCUCUGCUUGGUUCCAGUCGUGGGCAUGAGUGAGGGGCGAUGCUUGAUGGCUUUGAUGCCAUCGGUGGGAAUGCGUUUAAGCAUCGGCCUUCCCUUAUGCCCACGAUGGUCUACAGUCUUGGGUAUGAGUCAGUGACGAUGCUUGUUAGUUUUGAUGCUUGCGAAUGAACUUGCUUGAGCAACCGACCCGAUGAAGUAUUCAACCUAGUAGGGACUUGUCCCUGCGCCCAACGACUUUUGUCGGGAUCGUGGCAUGUCUGCGAUCCAGGGGGUGAUGUUGAGAGCUGGAAGGCAAGGGGGUGCAAACACCAGUCGGCCUUUGUCCCGAUUGCUGAGUGUUAUGUGCUUGACGUCCAAGGCUUGAUGCUGACCCUCCAAGUGGGGCUUGUCCCUGCACUAAUGGCUUUUGCCAGGAUCAUGGCGUUUGUUAUGAUCGAAUAACUGAGGGGGUGAUGUUGAGAGCCGGAAGGCAAGGGGGUGCAAACACCAGUCGGCCUUUGUCCCGAUUGCUGAGUGUUAUGUGCUUGAUGUCCAAGGCUUGAUGCUGACCUUCCAAGUGGGGUGUUUUUUGUUCCUGCGGUAACGACUUUGUUGGGAUCAUUGUGAUCAAGUUUGGUUGGUUUCGUAUUGUGGUGGGUUUUUUCGAAGCUUCUGUCGUUCUUUUACGCAUCGUGCGGUGCAUCUUGGGGGCUGUUUUGGCUUUUGGUUGCUUGCUUGGGCUUUAUGCUAGGCGGGUGGCUAAU